GAUGAACGCUGGCGGCGUGCCUAAUACAUGCAAGUCGAACGAGUUCUUCGGAACUAGUGGCGGACGGGUGAGUAACACGUUGGUACCUACCCCGAAGUGGGGAAUAACUGGCCGAAAGGUCGGCUAGUACCGCAUAAUACCGUAAGGUUAAAGCAGUAAUGCGCUUCGGGAGGGGCCUGCGUCUGAUUAGCUAGUUGGUAGUGUAAUGGACUACCAAGGCGACGAUCAGUAGCUGGAUCGAGAGGUUGACCAGCCACACUGGGACUGAGAUACGGCCCAGACUCCUGCGGGAGGCAGCAGUAAGGAAUCUUCCACAAUGGACGAAAGUCUGAUGGAGCAACGCCGCGUGCAGGAUGACGGCCUUCGGGUUGUAAACUGCUUUUAUAUGGGAAGAUUAUGACGGUACCAUAUGAAUAAGGACCGGCUAACUACGUGCCAGCCGCCGCGGUAA
RNAcentral lists this ribosomal RNA (451 nucleotides) under uncultured bacterium. RNAcentral's name for it is "partial 16S ribosomal RNA". It matches the Rfam family "Bacterial small subunit ribosomal RNA", at positions 28 to 523 of the family's 1533-position model. The record is from RNAcentral.